Molecule: unclassified non-coding RNA, 352 nt
Filed under: Hevea brasiliensis (rubber tree)
Lineage: Eukaryota; Viridiplantae; Streptophyta; Magnoliopsida; Malpighiales; Euphorbiaceae
Source: RNAcentral
GAAAAAAUAUAACUAGUAAUAAACAAUCCACCAAACAAGUAUUUUCUUUAAAAAGCCCACUAGAAUCUGAAAUGACCAACUUAAAGCAUUAGGCAAACCAACACUUAAAACAACAAGGAAGUAAUAUCAAAAGACAAUCAAACAGAUCUAAAGAAAUAUAAGAGAUGUCAAUAUUACGCCCAAUGAAUUAUAGACAAGGCCCUGAGAUCCCCUGACAUCUAUAAUGAGUAAAAAUUUUGGGGGAAAAAAAGAAGAACAGGUGAAGAAUUCACAAUUGAAUUGCCGAAACUUACAACUUGAGGGCUGGUUUGAGAGCACCUUGCUAUCAAAAAGAAGAUGAUAGAAAGAUAAG